RNAcentral lists this ribosomal RNA (694 nucleotides) under uncultured Bacteroides sp. RNAcentral describes it as "bacterial SSU rRNA". It matches the Rfam family "Bacterial small subunit ribosomal RNA", at positions 32 to 715 of the family's 1533-position model. Lineage: Bacteria; Pseudomonadati; Bacteroidota; Bacteroidia; Bacteroidales; Bacteroidaceae. The record is from RNAcentral.
AACGCUAGCUACAGGCUUAACACAUGCAAGUCGAGGGGCAGCAUGGACUUAGCUUGCUAAGUCCGAUGGCGACCGGCGCACGGGUGAGUAACACGUAUCCAACCUCCCGCUUACUCAGGAAUAGCCUUUCGAAAGAAAGAUUAAUGCCUGAUGGUAUCUUAAGCACACAUGUAAUUAAGAUUAAAGAUUUAUCGGUAAGCGAUGGGGAUGCGUUCCAUUAGGUAGUAGGCGGGGUAACGGCCCACCUAGCCGACGAUGGAUAGGGGUUCUGAGAGGAAGGUCCCCCACAUUGGAACUGAGACACGGUCCAAACUCCUACGGGAGGCAGCAGUGAGGAAUAUUGGUCAAUGGGCGCGAGCCUGAACCAGCCAAGUAGCGUGAAGGAUGAAGGUCCUAUGGAUUGUAAACUUCUUUUAUACGGGAAUAAAGUGGUCCACGUGUGGGCCUUUGCAUGUACCGUAUGAAUAAGCAUCGGCUAACUCCGUGCCAGCAGCCGCGGUAAUACGGAGGAUGCGAGCGUUAUCCGGAUUUAUUGGGUUUAAAGGGAGCGCAGACGGGGGAUUAAGUCAGUUGUGAAAGUUUGCGGCUCAACCGUAAAAUUGCAGUUGAUACUGGUUCCCUUGAGUGCAGUUGAGGCAGGCGGAAUUCGUGGUGUAGCGGUGAAAUGCAUAGAUAUCACGAAGAACUCCGAUUG